Molecule: ribosomal RNA, 520 nt
Filed under: uncultured Glomus
Lineage: Eukaryota; Fungi; Glomeromycota; Glomeromycetes; Glomerales; Glomeraceae
Description: SSU rRNA
Rfam family: Eukaryotic small subunit ribosomal RNA
Source: RNAcentral
AGCAGCCGCGGUAAUUCCAGCUCCAAUAGCGUAUAUUAAAGUUGUUGCAGUUAAAAAGCUCGUAGUUGAAUUUCGGGAUCAAUACGUCGGUCGUGCUUCGGUACGUACUAACGUCAUUGAUUUCUCCCUUCUGACGAAUCGUGAUGUCAUUAAUUUGGUGUUACGGGGAGUUAGGACUGUUACUUUGAAAAAUUAGAGUGUUUAAAGCAAGCAAUCGCUCGAAUACAUUAGCAUGGAAUAAUGAAAUAGGACGUUCGAACCUAUUUUGUUGGUUUCUAGGAUCGACGUAAUGAUUAAUAGGGAUAGUUGGGGGCAUUAGUAUUCAAUUGUCAGAGGUGAAAUUCUUGGAUUUAUUGAAGACUAACUACUGCGAAAGCAUUUGCCAAGGAUGUUUUCAUUAAUCAAGAACGAAAGUUAGGGGAUCGAAGACGAUCAGAUACCGUCGUAGUCUUAACCAUAAACUAUGCCGACUAAGGGAUCGGAUGAUGUUAAUUUUAUAAUGACUCAUUCGGCGCCUUAC